Setaria italica (foxtail millet) is the source of this 717-nucleotide long non-coding RNA. RefSeq lists it as uncharacterized. The record is from RefSeq and is a predicted model, not a curated record. Lineage: Eukaryota; Viridiplantae; Streptophyta; Magnoliopsida; Poales; Poaceae. The transcript is spliced from 2 exons.
AACCACACCUAAAGUUAGGUUUGCCACAAUUGGUAGGUGUUUUGGUUCAAGAAUAAACUGAGGCUCGCCACAGCUGCGGCCUGCGGAGCCCUCGCGCCACAGUUUUUGCUGCCAAGGUGCGGCGAGUUUUUUCGGCGCCACACCCGCCGUGGCCGCCAACGCUGCCGAAAGAUCCCAGUCCCUCUACCUAGCGCGAACGCAUCUGCUUAAGUUUACCGCAAACAUCAUGCCUCUCCCACAUCAGCUGCAUGGUUGAUCCGCUUCCGCGCCGUCAUGCUCGCUCACCGCGGCAGACUCCUCCCCGACAGUUGCGGCAGCGGAAGGGAAGGGAAAAGGAAACAAAUGAAGGACAGAGGAAGCAGACGACCACCGAGGAGUGGAAUCAUCGCUGCGGCCACUCGAGUAGCAGAUAGGAAUCCCAUUCUUUUUUUCUUGUUUUGACUGCCAUCGAUUUGUUCAACGGACUGGCCUGCUGCGACGAGCAGCAGCAGGCUAGCAAGUUGCGAUUGGCCGAUUGCAAUCCCCCUCUAGCUCCUUCACUAAGUACUUAUCUUUUUUCAUUGGUAGCACUGUUAAGAUUAAUAUGGCCGUCAUUUUUAUUAGAAGCACGAUAAAACAAAGAUGAGGUAUCGAUUUAUAUUAGAUAGCAUUUUUAUUGACUAAUAUAUGCUGGAGUGUAAGACUAUAUUUUGACAUGUACUAUUUCUAUUCUAUCUU